Molecule: unclassified non-coding RNA, 329 nt
Filed under: soil metagenome
Description: partial contains 5.8S ribosomal RNA, internal transcribed spacer 2, and large subunit ribosomal RNA
Rfam family: 5.8S ribosomal RNA (bases 1-120)
Source: RNAcentral
GAUGAAGAACGUAGCGAAAUGCGAUAAGUAGUGGGAAUUGCAGAAUUCAGUGAAUCAUCGAAUCUUUGAACGCACAUUGCGCCCCUUGGUAUCCCGAGGGGCAUGCCUGUUCGAGCGUCAUUUCACCACUCAAGCCUGGCUUGGUGUUGGGCGACGUCCUCUUUGGGGACGCGCCUCGAAACGCUCGGCGGCGUGGCACCGGCUUUAAGCGUAGCAGAAUCUUUCGCUUUGGAAGUCGGGGCCCCGUCUGCCGGAAGACCUGCUCGCAAGGUUGACCUCGGAUCAGGCAGGGAUACCCGCUGAACUUAAGCAUAUCAAUAAGCGGAGGA